UCCUUAGAUGUUCUGGGCCGCACGCGCGCUACACUGACUGACUCAACGAGUGUACAACCUGCUUCGACAGAAGUGGGUAAUCUUUUGAAAUUCAGUCGUGAUGGGGCUAGAUUAUUGCAACUAUUAAUCUUCAACGAGGAAUGCCUAGUAAGCGCGAAUCAUCAGUUCGCGUUGAUUACGUCCCUGCCCUUUGUACACACCGCCCGUCGCUCCUACCGAUUGAAUGGUCCGGUGAAGCCUCCGGAUUGGCGCGCACCUCGGUGCCGCCGAGAAGUUGGCUAAACCUUACCAUUUAGAGGAAGGUGAANUCGUANCA
This 316-nucleotide ribosomal RNA is filed under the name uncultured eukaryote. RNAcentral describes it as "partial 18S ribosomal RNA". It matches the Rfam family "Eukaryotic small subunit ribosomal RNA", at positions 1470 to 1796 of the family's 1831-position model. The record is from RNAcentral.